RNAcentral lists this non-coding RNA (160 nucleotides) under Marinicauda salina. RNAcentral's name for it is "6S / SsrS RNA". It matches the Rfam family "6S / SsrS RNA". Rfam says of the family: E. coli 6S RNA was the first non coding RNA to be sequenced, but its function was unknown until recently. It consists of 184 nucleotides that fold into an extended hairpin structure with a large single-stranded internal bulge. Lineage: Bacteria; Pseudomonadati; Pseudomonadota; Alphaproteobacteria; Maricaulales; Maricaulaceae. The record is from Rfam by way of RNAcentral.
CGGUUUCUGGAGCGUGCGUCAGACGACAGCAUCCCGGCGACCUUACAUCUCUGAGAGGGAGCUACCUCUGUCCGGGGCCGUGGCCCCGGUCACGCGGCGCCCACCUGGUUAUCCGGGUCAUCAGGGAUCGAUGUUCGUCGACGGCGCAUCCGGAGCCGCC